This 469-nucleotide ribosomal RNA is filed under the name uncultured Gammaproteobacteria bacterium. Its description in RNAcentral is "bacterial SSU rRNA". It matches the Rfam family "Bacterial small subunit ribosomal RNA", at positions 46 to 494 of the family's 1533-position model. The record is from RNAcentral. Lineage: Bacteria; Pseudomonadati; Pseudomonadota; Gammaproteobacteria.
GCCUAACACAUGCAAGUCGAGCGGAAACGACACUAACAAUCCUUCGGGUGCGUUAAUGGGCGUCGAGCGGCGGACGGGUGAGUAAUGCCUAGGAAAUUGCCUUGAUGUGGGGGAUAACCAUUGGAAACGAUGGCUAAUACCGCAUAAUGCCUACGGGCCAAAGAGGGGGACCUUCGGGCCUCUCGCGUCAAGAUAUGCCUAGGUGGGAUUAGCUAGUUGGUGAGGUAAUGGCUCACCAAGGCGACGAUCCCUAGCUGGUCUGAGAGGAUGAUCAGCCACACUGGAACUGAGACACGGUCCAGACUCCUACGGGAGGCAGCAGUGGGGAAUAUUGCACAAUGGGCGAAAGCCUGAUGCAGCCAUGCCGCGUGUAUGAAGAAGGCCUUCGGGUUGUAAAGUACUUUCAGUUGUGAGGAAGGGGGUGUAGUUAAUAGCUGCAUCUCUUGACGUUAGCAACAGAAGAAGCACC